CAAUAGCGUAUAUUAAAGUUGUUGCAGUUAAAAAGCUCGUAGUUGGAUUUCUGGUGGGAGCGAUCGGUCUGGCGCUUAGCGCGAGUACUUGCAUCGUCUCCGGCCAUCCUUGGGGAGAGUCUGUCUGGCAUUACGUUGUCGGGCAGAGGAUCCUCAUCGUUUACUGUGAAAAAAUUAGAGUGUUCAAAGCAGGCUUAUGCCGUUGAAUAUAUUAGCAUGGAAUAAUAAGAUAGGACUUUGGUACUAUUUUGUUGGUUUGCGCACCAAAGUAAUGAUUAAUAGGGACAGUUGGGGGUAUUCGUAUUCCGUUGUCAGAGGUGAAAUUCUUGGAUUUACGGAAGACGAACUACUGCGAAAGCAUUUACCAAGGAUGUUUUCAUUAA
Molecule: ribosomal RNA, 383 nt
Filed under: uncultured eukaryote
Lineage: Eukaryota
Description: partial 18S ribosomal RNA
Rfam family: Eukaryotic small subunit ribosomal RNA
Source: RNAcentral